GAUGAACGCUGGCGGUAUGCUUAACACAUGCAAGUCGAACGGACUCUUCGGAGUUAGUGGCGGACGGGUGAGUAACGCGUGAGAAUCUGGCUUUGGGUUCGGGACAACCACUGGAAACGGUGGCUAAUACCGGAUGUGCCGAGAGGUAAAAGAGAAAUUGCCUGAAGAUGAGCUCGCGUCUGAUUAGCUAGUUGGUGAGGUAAAGGCUCACCAAGGCAGCGAUCAGUAGCUGGUCUGAGAGGAUGACCAGCCACACUGGGACUGAGACACGGCCCAGACGCCGACGGGAGGCAGCAGUGGGGAAUUUUCCGCAAUGGGCGAAAGGCUGACGGAGCAAUACCGCGUGAGGGAAGAAGGCUCUGGGGGUGUAAAACUCUUGUCUUAGGGAAGAACAAAAUGACGGUACCUAAGGAAUCAGCAUCGGCUAACUCCGUG
This 435-nucleotide ribosomal RNA is filed under the name uncultured bacterium. RNAcentral describes it as "partial 16S ribosomal RNA". It matches the Rfam family "Bacterial small subunit ribosomal RNA", at positions 28 to 507 of the family's 1533-position model. The record is from RNAcentral.